This 164-nucleotide ribosomal RNA is filed under the name Anaphalis margaritacea. RNAcentral's name for it is "5.8S ribosomal RNA". It matches the Rfam family "5.8S ribosomal RNA". From Rfam's summary of the family: 5.8S ribosomal RNA (5.8S rRNA) is a component of the large subunit of the eukaryotic ribosome. It is transcribed by RNA polymerase I as part of the 45S precursor that also contains 18S and 28S rRNA. Functionally, it is thought that 5.8S rRNA may be involved in ribosome translocation. The record is from RNAcentral. Lineage: Eukaryota; Viridiplantae; Streptophyta; Magnoliopsida; Asterales; Asteraceae. RNAcentral also lists the same sequence under 22 other names.
CAAACGACUCUCGGCAACGGAUAUCUCGGCUCACGCAUCGAUGAAGAACGUAGCAAAAUGCGAUACUUGGUGUGAAUUGCAGAAUCCCGUGAACCAUCGAGUUUUUGAACGCAAGUUGCGCCCGAAGCCAUUUGGUUGAGGGCACGUCUGCCUGGGCGUCACGC